UUGGGGACGCGAGAGCAGAGGGAGUUUUUUCUUUGAGUUCGAGUGAGAGAGGGUCCGCUGGUGAGCAAUAUUGAGAGAGAACUUUGGAUUGAGAUGGAGAGAACUCAGAGGCAACGAAUGGUUACUGUUCCCGUUUUUCUUUUUUUGUUGUUGAACUUUUUUACUUGUUUCUUUAUAUUUUGCUAGCAUAAUAGACUUUGGGAA
Molecule: long non-coding RNA, 204 nt
Filed under: Lathyrus oleraceus (garden pea)
Lineage: Eukaryota; Viridiplantae; Streptophyta; Magnoliopsida; Fabales; Fabaceae
Description: Pisum sativum (pea) long non-coding RNA (PSAT_LNC021784)
Source: RNAcentral